Daphnia magna is the source of this 2886-nucleotide long non-coding RNA. RefSeq lists it as uncharacterized. NCBI's taxonomy places the organism in Eukaryota, Metazoa, Arthropoda, Branchiopoda, Diplostraca, Daphniidae. The record is from RefSeq and is a predicted model, not a curated record. The transcript is spliced from 3 exons.
AUAAAGCCCUGCAUCAUAUUCAAAUUUCUUUUCCAUGCAGACUGUCGUCGUUAGCACUCGUAAGUACUCGCGUAGUCGUAAUUUUAAGUUAGUGUAUUCUUGAAGUUGUUCGUUCCUUAAAGUAUUUUUAUGUUUUUUUACUCCUGUUACGUCUUCUGUGGCUAGAUUUGUGUAUGAACGUCUUAAUUACAUUAGCAACAGUAGUUUAUAAUUAACCACAUGAAUUUUGGUUAUUAAUGCCUUUCCUGCCUGUAAUCUUUUUGCAAAUAUAACUUUUAAAAUUAUGUAAGCGGCCAUGGCGUGUGGGGUAGGCAAGGUCGUUGUUAGUAAGGUUUAAGUAGCCAGUCCAUUUUCAAUUCCCAACAAGUUUAGAUUGAAUCAUUUAUAUCGACCAAUUUCUACUUUGUGACUUAUAUUAUCAUUGAAAGUUCUUUUCUUUAUAUCCCAUUUGAUGAUUUUUAAAACUUUUGAAAGGCAGCAUGCCAGAAAGAACAUGGUUGGCAAUUUGACAAAGCUUGUUUCCUGUCCAGGUAAUGUUAAUGCACCCUGUUUUAUGGUGAGUUUGAUAAUGAAUCAGAUUUUCUAGAUGUGAUUGGUUUUUUUUAAAUCUAGGGUUAGUGCAAAAGUAGUCCAUCAAUCAUAAGUGCCAUGUAGGAUGACUGUAGAUAACUUGGUUGAAGUGUGGAUGAGUGCAUGGUGCUGGUUUGUUCUGAUCAUAUUGUCUUCUGUGGUGGUUUAGUUUUUUGUUGUUGAGUUUGAUAGAACAUGAAAUUUUCAAGGUGUGAUUGAACUUUGUUUUAUCUAGGGUUAAUCCUGAAUGUGUGCAUGUAUUUGUAUGUGCUACAUGACCUGCUAUUCAUUGUUCUGGUCUGAGUUAAAAAAUUUUGUUAUUCUCCCAUUUAAUAAUUUCAGUGACUUUUGAUAUAUUGUUAUCUGAAGAUAACUUGGUAGGUAUUUGUACAGAGCACAUGGUGCUGGCUUGUCUACCUGACCAUGAUUUAUUCCAAUGGGUUGAUUUAUGAUGGGUGAGUUAAAGAAUUGGGUACAGGUAUAGUACACAUAAUGAAAAUCAUUUCUUGUUAAACAUGAAUUUUUCUUUAGAUGUCAAAUUACUGACAAAUAUCUGAAGUUGGUUAAUUUAAUUUCUCUUCAAUGUGAGUUUAAUCCAGUGUUAUAAUUCUCUAUAUGCUGGUUGAAUGCAUCAUGAAGAACAAGAAUAAUAUUGGUACUGUUUCAACGAUGUUUUUAAAUGUUGAAAUCAGUUGCUGUUUGCUGACGUUUCCGAUUGCUAGAUCUGGAGUCGUGAUUGACAAGCUGUCUUUUUGAGACCAAUAUUGUCCAUUGGUGGAAUUCUAUAUUUGCUUAUUGAAUGUGGGCCAUUUUGGUUGGUCAAAAUUCAACCGAUGCUACUGUUCGUUUUUGUUCUCUGUUGCCAAUGUACGAUAUGAUCCAUAAUUUGUUUUAAAUUAUUCUCGGUUUGAAAAACUAGGAUGUUUGUGUUGGUGUUGCAUCAUAUAGAACUCAGGAAGGAAACAGGUGGUGGCAAGUAAAAUAAUGGACAAGUUUUCGCUGUAGGUAAAAGUUGCAACAUAUUGGGAGGAUAUUGUGAUGGAAGUUGGAAAUUAAAAGUAUGGUUAAUAAUUAAAAUUACGUCCGAAGAUUUCUUUAAUUUUCUGCGUGUAUAAUUUCCUAAACUUCUAAAGGCAGGAUAAUUAUGUAAGUUGGUUUUGACAAGGCCCAUGGUGCUGGUUUCUCCUGAUUUUGUUUCACACUGUGGUGGUAAGUUGUAUGAGCUGAAAUUUUUAAGAUAUUGAAAGGAUUAUUUCUUGAUUUAAUCCUUGUACUGUGGAUGGAUUUGCUAUAUGACAAGAUGUUUAUUGUUCCUGCUGCUUGGUGCUCUUUGAAUGUGAAUUGUUUGACAUUGAGGUGGUAAGAUACUUAAUCUAUGUGAAUUGAAAGUAUUGGGUUGGAGUUGGUAAGUUGCUGAUUUCCUUAUUAUGGUCUUUCAUCUGUAGGUACUGCUUUGCAUCGUUCUCUCGUGUGGACAUGGUACAAAUGUGAGGAAACGGCAAUAUUCGUGCUGGGAUAGAAUAGUCAAUAUCAAGUUUGUUAAUUUUAAUAACUUUUGAUAGGGAGGACAACUACAUGACUUGGUUGGUAUAUGGACAGAACAUGAUGUUGGAUUGUCCUCCUGGCAGUUUUGUAUCCAGUGGUGGUCUUGCUUUAUUUGUGAGUUUGUUGAUGGUUACCUGAUGAUGAUAAGUAUGAAAAUAAGUUACUGGAAAUCAUUUUAAGGUUUUUACAGGUAUGGUUAUUUGUGGAGUUUGCUAUGCCUCGGUGUUACUGUUUUGAUGAUUUAAGUACCCACGAAGCAACCGAUUGAUUUUACAUAGUAAACUUGUAAUCGAUUUUUUUGUGUUGAAAGAUGUUCUGUUGUGGUUUAUCAUUGAUCUGUUAGUAUACUUUAAAGCGACUGUUUUGUUCUGCAUCCGCACUAGCCGAAGAUAUCGAUGGACUGAAAGGGGCGUGACAGAUGACAUACCAAUUGAAGUUGAAAAUUCGCAUGGAGACAUAAUUUGUUUUCCUAAAGUAAAUUCAUCAGUGUAUAUGUUAUUUUCUGUGGCCCUGUUUAUGCUUAACUUGUGAUAAGUCCAUGCGGUGGUAGGCUAUUCUAUGGUAAUCCAUUUUCAAUGUUAUGAGGUGGAUAAGGGGUUAUUCACAUAGGCACUUAUUUGUUCGAAAUUGUCUUGUUACUUUUUCGUCUUUUAUUUGCUACAUAACGGGUACUUCUGGUGAGAUAACUGAUAUAGUUUCGCCUACAUUAUCGGAUUAUAACUAUUUUUAUAAUUGUAAAUUGAAUUGAUAAUAAAAGCGUUUCAAAUUAAA